GUACAUGAGGGUGAUCUGGCUGCAACAUCUGUCACCCCACUGAGCUCCAGGGUUGACCCGGCUGAUCUGGCUGGCUGGCAGGUGUCCCCCUCCUCCCUCAUGCUGCAAGUACAUCCCUCCAGAAGGAAGAGGAUGGCUUUCCCUGAAUAGAGACAGACCUGGUCUUUGGUUGAGGGUAUCCAAGUAGAGUAGCUGCACUCCCUUGCUAGAACCUCCAACCAGGCUCUCAGAAUAUAUUAAGGAAAGUAUUCAUUUAAGAAUUCACUUACAACAAU
Molecule: small nuclear RNA, 275 nt
Filed under: Erinaceus europaeus (western European hedgehog)
Lineage: Eukaryota; Metazoa; Chordata; Mammalia; Eulipotyphla; Erinaceidae
Description: 7SK RNA
Rfam family: 7SK RNA
About the family: 7SK was discovered as an abundant small nuclear RNA in the mid-70s but a possible function has only recently been suggested. Two independent studies have found that 7SK RNA binds the CDK9/cyclin T complex (known as elongation factor P-TEFb).
Source: Rfam by way of RNAcentral